This is a long non-coding RNA of Mangifera indica (mango), 1046 nucleotides long. RefSeq lists it as uncharacterized. The record is from RefSeq and is a predicted model, not a curated record. NCBI's taxonomy places the organism in Eukaryota, Viridiplantae, Streptophyta, Magnoliopsida, Sapindales, Anacardiaceae. The transcript is spliced from 3 exons.
CUUAAACACACAUCUUUAUACCUAGAAUCUUGUUAAUGUAAGCUUUCAUUGCCAUGAUCUAAUUUCUAAGAUCCCGUUGGCAAAAACCCUAACAACCUUCAAUCUGGAUCGCCUCCUAUUCAUGCUCUAUGUGGAUAUCAAGGGGUCACUCCAAGAGAGUUGGAUAGCAAUCUUUACAUAGCCAUAUGAAGUCUUAAAAGAGCCAACAAUACAUGAUUUAAAUUCAAGGUUGAUAGUUGGUUUGUCAUGUGAGCAUGGUUUACAUGCCACCAUUGCUCACACAAUGAUUGGCUUGCGUUUACAUGAUGGCCUCUGGGUUUCCCAUCAUUGGAAAGUCCAAAAAUCGAGACUAAAAACAACACCUUGCAUAGUCAGAAUGAAAACUAAACAGGAUGGCACUGUGCAUGACAAGGUUGUUCCUUGAGUCUGUUCUAUAGGUCAACAUAAUUUUGUUAAUAUAAAUUGUCAUUUGCCUUUUAUCUAUUGUUAUGACAGAAUAUCCGAUUGGUUUAUCUCAACACCCUAAACAAGGGUAAAAAGGUGAUUAAUAUUGCCUCUCAAGAUGACGAGUUGAGCGAUAUCACUUGUCAAAGAGACGAUGUGGUUCAACUCCCGACAUAGAGGGAAAUAGUUCAAGUUUUUAUCCUAAUAAACUUUGACAAUGCACAUUGGGUAGUAGACAUCCUGGAUUUUAAGGAGUGGAAGAUCACAGUUUAUGACUUGUUAUAAAGUUUUACUAUUGAUUCGAAGAUAUUUAGCAGAAAGAUUUUGGGGUAUAUGUCAAUGAUGCCACAUUUGCUAGCUAUGACAUUAUUUUGGUUUUUUGCUGGUCGAACUCUACGGGACAAUCUAUUUGUAUUGCAUAGGGUGUUGGAUAUCCCAUAGUAGACACCUUUAUCAGGUGAUUUUGGUGUGUUCAUGGUAUGUUAUAUUGAGUGUCUAACACUUGGCCACUCGUUAUCUUUUGAGGUCGAGGACUCAUUACACCUAUGCAUUUGUUUAGCCACACAAUUAUUUUUUCAAGAUAUUGAUUGACCUUUAUAUUA